GCCUGUAGGCAAUGCCACCUGAACACACCAGCCCUUAACUGAUCCCAGAAGCUAAGCAGGAUCAGACCUGGUUAGGACUUGGAUGGGAGACCAUCAUGUCCUCAAAGGUU
This 110-nucleotide ribosomal RNA is filed under the name Salvator merianae (Argentine black and white tegu). Lineage: Eukaryota; Metazoa; Chordata; Lepidosauria; Squamata; Teiidae. The record is from RNAcentral.